RNAcentral lists this transfer RNA (66 nucleotides) under Symplanella nigricans. RNAcentral describes it as "tRNA-Ala". The record is from RNAcentral. Lineage: Eukaryota; Metazoa; Arthropoda; Insecta; Hemiptera; Caliscelidae.
AGGAAUAUAGUUAAAUAUAACAGUUUCUUUGCAAGAAAAAAGUAUUGAUUAAAUCAAUUAUUCUCA